GAAGGCGGAGCCACCAUCUUAGUCACCACAGAAUGUUCAGCACCUGUGUCGAUCAUGAAAGAACUUCUCUUUCCCCCUAUUGCUACAUCGACCAUAGGCUCCGCUCGACCAAGUGGGAUGGAGCCCAGUCGGUAUCAAUAGUCUUCCAUGAUAGUGUCAGCCAGACCCGCAAAAUCUCUAUCCUCUCUAGGUCUCUGCGUGGGUGGAUAGUAUCUGUCUCCUUGAACACUUCCUCUACUAUUCCCACCAUUCCCUCUAAAACUUCCUCUUCCUCUAUAACUACCACUAUAACCUCCUCGUACCCUUCUCUCUCCUUGUCUAUCACCUUCAUACUGCUCUCUCUGUGGACACUCACUCUUCCAAUGUCCCUCCUUUCUACAAUACGCACAUUAAUUCCUACUUAAAGUCCCUUGUUCAGCCUAUUCUCGUCUCCUCUAUUCACUUCCCUGUCUUUCUACACUUAGAUAGCUACCGCUAGCAUAUCUGCCUUUUUCCUCAUUUUACGUUCUUCCUCCGUCUCCCUAUUCAUAUAUACUGUAUUUGCAAUCUCCAUUAGCUGUAUUAUGGACAUCCCUACAAAUCCCUCUAAUUUCUGUAAUUUCCUUUUACUAUCACCUUGGGCCUGGCUGACAAAUGCUGAGUCUAUCAUUCGGAAGUUUUCAGGGGCCUCUGGAUUAAAGGGAGUAUACAACCUAUUUGACUCAAGCAGUGUCUAAUAUGGGACUUCGGCAAAGAUGCCCAAUAAUAGGUUCCAGUCUAGGAGUAGUAAGAUAAGUGUAAGGGGGUGAGCUAAUUUUAUUAGUCAGCAUUUGGUGGAUAAAAAAACGUUUGUUUUUUUAAAGUGUUAAACCAAAAACCUACCAGUAGGUGUCACCAGAGGGUAAUUGUAUCAAAAUAAUCUUUAUGGGUCUAAUAAGAAAACUCAAC
Pelobates cultripes (western spadefoot toad) is the source of this 927-nucleotide non-coding RNA. The record is from the annotation of a GenBank genome assembly. NCBI's taxonomy places the organism in Eukaryota, Metazoa, Chordata, Amphibia, Anura, Pelobatidae.